Molecule: transfer RNA, 83 nt
Filed under: Tepidimonas thermarum
Lineage: Bacteria; Pseudomonadati; Pseudomonadota; Betaproteobacteria; Burkholderiales
Description: tRNA-Gly
Source: RNAcentral
CGUGCCAUGCGCAGCGCGGCGGCAGCGGCCCUGCCGGGGCCGUGUGGCCCUCGAGGGGUGGAGAUCGAUGUUCAAUGGCGUGG